UACGUAGGGGGCAAGCGUUAUCCGGAUUUACUGGGUGUAAAGGGUGCGUAGGCGGCACGCCAAGUCAGUUGUGAAACCCGUAGGCUCAACCUACGGCUUGCAAUUGAAACUGGCGAGCUAGAGUACAGGAGAGGAAAGCGGAAUUCCUAGUGUAGCGGUGAAAUGCGUAGAUAUUAGGAAGAACACCGGUGGCGAAGGCGGCUUUCUGGACUGAAACCGACGCUGAGGCACGAAAGCGUGGGGAGCAAACAGG
RNAcentral lists this ribosomal RNA (253 nucleotides) under uncultured bacterium. Its description in RNAcentral is "partial 16S ribosomal RNA". It matches the Rfam family "Bacterial small subunit ribosomal RNA", at positions 524 to 776 of the family's 1533-position model. The record is from RNAcentral.